This 348-nucleotide unclassified non-coding RNA is filed under the name soil metagenome. RNAcentral's name for it is "partial contains 5.8S ribosomal RNA, internal transcribed spacer 2, and large subunit ribosomal RNA". The stretch from base 1 to 120 matches the Rfam family "5.8S ribosomal RNA", at positions 35 to 154 of the family's 154-position model. The record is from RNAcentral.
GAUGAAGAACGUAGCGAAAUGCGAUAAGUAAUGUGAAUUGCAGAAUUCAGUGAAUCAUCGAAUCUUUGAACGCACAUUGCGCCCGCCAGUAUUCUGGCGGGCAUGCUUGUCUGAGCGUCAUUUCAACCCUCAUGCCCCUAGGGCGUGGUGUUGGGGAUCGGCCAAAGCCCGCGAGGGACGGCCGGCCCCUAAAUCUAGUGGCGGACCCGUCGUGGCCUCCUCUGCGAAGUAGUGAUAUUCCGCAUCGGAGAGCGAUGAGCCCCUGCCGUUAAACCCCCAACUUUCCAAGGUUGACCUCAGAUCAGGUAGGAAUACCCGCUGAACUUAAGCAUAUCAAUAAGCGGAGGA